GAUGAAGAACGCAGUGAAAUGCGAUAAGUAAUGUGAAUUGCAGAAUUCAGUGAAUCAUCGAAUCUUUGAACGCACCUUGCGCCCUUUGGCUAUUCCGAAGGGCAUGCCUGUUUGAGUAUCAUGAACACCUCAACUCUUCACGGCUUGCCGUGAUGAGUUUGGACUUUGGGGGUCUUGCUGGCCUACGAGCCAGCUCCUCUCAAAUGUAUUAGCUUGCCGGUGUUUGGUGGCAUCACAGGUGUGAUAACUAUCUACGCUUGUGGUUUUCCACUAGGUAACCUUCAGCAAUGGAGGUUCACCGGAGCUCACAAAUGUCUCUCCUUGCCAAGGACAGAUUUUGACCAUUUGAUCUCAAAUCAGGUAGGACUACCCGCUGAACUUAAGCAUAUCAAUAAGCGGAGGA
This 403-nucleotide unclassified non-coding RNA is filed under the name soil metagenome. Its description in RNAcentral is "partial contains 5.8S ribosomal RNA, internal transcribed spacer 2, and large subunit ribosomal RNA". The stretch from base 1 to 121 matches the Rfam family "5.8S ribosomal RNA", at positions 35 to 154 of the family's 154-position model. The record is from RNAcentral.